This 325-nucleotide unclassified non-coding RNA is filed under the name uncultured fungus. RNAcentral's name for it is "partial contains 5.8S ribosomal RNA and internal transcribed spacer 2". The stretch from base 1 to 128 matches the Rfam family "5.8S ribosomal RNA", at positions 22 to 154 of the family's 154-position model. The record is from RNAcentral. Lineage: Eukaryota; Fungi.
UGGCUCUUGCAACGAUGAAGAACGCAGCGAAAUGCGAUACGUAGUGUGAAUUGCAGAAUUCCGUGAAUCAUUGAAUCUUUGAACGCACAUUGCACUCUAUUCUGUAGAGUAUGCCUGUUUGAGAAUCUACUAUUCUUUGUUUUUAGCUUACGAGUUUCUAGAAACAAGAUGUGAGGCUCCCUACACAAGUAAGGGUGCUUUGAAAUGGAUGGUUGUAGUGUCGACUGUAUAAAGAGUGUAUGGGGAAACCCUUCUUCUGGAGAAAACAGAAAACAUCAACAGAAGAUCGAAACAUGGUCUCAAAUCAGGUAGGACUACCCGCUGA